GACGAACGCUGGCGGCGUGCUUAACACAUGCAAGUCGAACGGCAACGCCCUGCUUUUUUGCGCUUCUCGAGUGGCGAACGGGUGCGUAACACGUGAGUAACCUACCCUUCACUUUGGGAUAACUUCAGGAAACUAGGGCUACUACCGGAUAGGAGCUCCUGCUGCGUGGUGAGCGUUGGAACGUUUCGGCGGUUGGGGAUGGACUCGCGGCUUAUCAGCUUGUUGGUUGGGUAGUGGCUUACCAAGCCUUUGACGGGUAGCCGGCAUGAGAGGGUGAACGGCCACAUUGGGACUGAGAGACGGCCCAGACGCGUAUGGGAGGCAGCAGGGGGGAAUAUGGCACAAUGGGCGGAAGCCUGAUGCAGCAACGUCGCGUGUGGGAUGACGGCCUUCGGGUUGUAAACCGCUUUCGCCUGUGACGAAGCGGGAGUGACGGUAACGGGUAAAGAAGCACCGGCUAACUACGUG
This 468-nucleotide ribosomal RNA is filed under the name uncultured bacterium. Its description in RNAcentral is "partial 16S ribosomal RNA". It matches the Rfam family "Bacterial small subunit ribosomal RNA", at positions 28 to 507 of the family's 1533-position model. The record is from RNAcentral.